RNAcentral lists this ribosomal RNA (238 nucleotides) under Pseudomonas putida. RNAcentral's name for it is "partial 23S ribosomal RNA". It matches the Rfam family "Bacterial large subunit ribosomal RNA", at positions 2707 to 2925 of the family's 2925-position model. The record is from RNAcentral. Lineage: Bacteria; Pseudomonadati; Pseudomonadota; Gammaproteobacteria; Pseudomonadales; Pseudomonadaceae.
CUCUGGUGUUCCGGUUGUCACGCCAGUGGCAUUGCCGGGUAGCUAUGUUCGGAAGAGAUAACCGCUGAAAGCAUCUAAGCGGGAAACUUGCCUCAAGAUGAGAUCUCACUGGGAUCUUGAAUCCCCUAAAGGGCCGUCGAAGACUACGACGUUGAUAGGUUGGGUGUGUAAGCGCUGUGAGGCGUUGAGCUAACCAAUACUAAUUGCCCGUGAGGCUUGACCAUAUAACACCCAAGCA